UGUUUCGGCUAGGGGGCCAUCCCGGCUUACCAACCCGAUGCAAACUGCGAAUACCGGAGAAUGUUAUCACGGGAGACACACGGCGGGUGCUAACGUCCGUCGUGAAGAGGGAAACAACCCAGACCGCCAGCUAAGGUCCCAAAGUCAUGGUUAAGUGGGAAACGAUGUGGGAAGGCCCAGACAGCCAGGAUGUUGGCUUAGAAGCAGCCAUCAUUUAAAGAAAGCGUAAUAGCUCACUGGUCGAGUCGGCCUGCGCGGAAGAUGUAACGGGGCUAAACCAUGCACCGAAGCUGCGGCAGCGACACUCAGGUGUUGUUGGGUAGGGGAGCGUUCUGUAAGCCUGCGAAGGUGGCCUGUGAGGGUUGCUGGAGGUAUCAGAAGUGCGAAUGCUGACAUAAGUAACGAUAAAGCGGGUGAAAAGCCCGCUCGCCGGAAGACCAAGGGUUCCUGUCCAACGUUAAUCGGGGCAGGGUGAGUCGACCCCUAAGGCGAGGCCGAAAGGCGUAGUCGAUGGGAAACGGGUUAAUAUUCCCGUACUUGGUGUUACUGCGAAGGGGGGACGGAGAAGGCUAUGUUGGCCGGGCGACGGUUGUCCCGGUUUAAGCGUGUAGGUGUGUGUUCCAGGUAAAUCCGGUUCACUUUAACACUGAGGCGUGAUGACGAGGCACUACGGUGCUGAAGCAACAAAUGCCCUGCUUCCAGGAAAAGCCUCUAAGCAUCAGGUAACAUCAAAUCGUACCCCAAACCGACACAGGUGGUCAGGUAGAGAAUACCAAGGCGCUUGAGAGAACUCGGGUGAAGGAACUAGGCAAAAUGGUGCCGUAACUUCGGGAGAAGGCACGCUGACACGUAGGUGAAGUGAUUUACUCAUGGAGCUGAAGUCAGUCGAAGAUACCAGCUGGCUGCAACUGUUUAUUAAAAACACAGCACUGUGCAAACACGAAAGUGGACGUAUACGGUGUGACGCCUGCCCGGUGCCGGAAGGUUAAUUGAUGGGGUCAGCGCAAGCGAAGCUCCUGAUCGAAGCCCCGGUAAACGGCGGCCGUAACUAUAACGGUCCUAAGGUAGCGAAAUUCCUUGUCGGGUAAGUUCCGACCUGCACGAAUGGCGUAAUGAUGGCCAGGCUGUCUCCACCCGAGACUCAGUGAAAUUGAACUCGCUGUGAAGAUGCAGUGUACCCGCGGCAAGACGGAAAGACCCCGUGAACCUUUACUAUAGCUUGACACUGAACAUUGAGCCUUGAUGUGUAGGAUAGGUGGGAGGCUUUGAAGUGUGGACGCCAGUCUGCAUGGAGCCGACCUUGAAAUACCACCCUUUAAUGUUUGAUGUUCUAACGUGGACCCGUGAUCCGGGUUGCGGACAGUGUCUGGUGGGUAGUUUGACUGGGGCGGUCUCCUCCUAAAGAGUAACGGAGGAGCACGAAGGUUGGCUAAUCCUGGUCGGACAUCAGGAGGUUAGUGCAAUGGCAUAAGCCAGCUUGACUGCGAGCGUGACGGCGCGAGCAGGUGCGAAAGCAGGUCAUAGUGAUCCGGUGGUUCUGAAUGGAAGGGCCAUCGCUCAACGGAUAAAAGGUACUCCGGGGAUAACAGGCUGAUACCGCCCAAGAGUUCAUAUCGACGGCGGUGUUUGGCACCUCGAUGUCGGCUCAUCACAUCCUGGGGCUGAAGUAGGUCCCAAGGGUAUGGCUGUUCGCCAUUUAAAGUGGUACGCGAGCUGGGUUUAGAACGUCGUGAGACAGUUCGGUCCCUAUCUGCCGUGGGCGCUGGAGAACUGAGGGGGGCUGCUCCUAGUACGAGAGGACCGGAGUGGACGCAUCACUGGUGUUCGGGUUGUCAUGCCAAUGGCACUGCCCGGUAGCUAAAUGCGGAAGAGAUAAGUGCUGAAAGCAUCUAAGCACGAAACUUGCCCCGA
Molecule: ribosomal RNA, 1911 nt
Filed under: Salmonella enterica
Lineage: Bacteria; Pseudomonadati; Pseudomonadota; Gammaproteobacteria; Enterobacterales; Enterobacteriaceae
Also listed under: 1 other name
Description: partial 23S ribosomal RNA
Rfam family: Bacterial large subunit ribosomal RNA
Source: RNAcentral